UCUGGAAAGGCGCGCGAUACAGGGUGACAGCCCCGUACACAAAAAUGCACAUGCUGUGAGCUCGAUGAGUAGGGCGGGACACGUGGUAUCCUGUCUGAAUAUGGGGGGACCAUCCUCCAAGGCUAAAUACUCCUGACUGACCGAUAGUGAACCAGUACCGUGAGGGAAAGGCGAAAAGAACCCCGGCGAGGGGAGUGAAAAAGAACCUGAAACCGUGUACGUACAAGCAGUGGGAGCACGCUUAGGCGUGUGACUGCGUACCUUUUGUAUAAUGGGUCAGCGACUUAUAUUCUGUAGCAAGGUUAACCGAAUAGGGGAGCCGAAGGGAAACCGAGUCUUAACUGGGCGUUAAGUUGCAGGGUAUAGACCCGAAACCCGGUGAUCUAGCCAUGGGCAGGUUGAAGGUUGGGUAACACUAACUGGAGGACCGAACCGACUAAUGUUGAAAAAUUAGCGGAUGACUUGUGGCUGGGGGUGAAAGGCCAAUCAAACCGGGAGAUAGCUGGUUCUCCCCGAAAGCUAUUUAGGUAGCGCCUCGUGAAUUCAUCUCCGGGGGUAGAGCACUGUUUCGGCAAGGGGGUCAUCCCGACUUACCAACCCGAUGCAAACUGCGAAUACCGGAGAAUGUUAUCACGGGAGACACACGGCGGGUGCUAACGUCCGUCGUGAAGAGGGAAACAACCCAGACCGCCAGCUAAGGUCCCAAAGUCAUGGUUAAGUGGGAAACGAUGUGGGAAGGCCCAGACAGCCAGGAUGUUGGCUUAGAAGCAGCCAUCAUUUAAAGAAAGCGUAAUAGCUCACUGGUCGAGUCGGCCUGCGCGGAAGAUGUAACGGGGCUAAACCAUGCACCGAAGCUGCGGCAGCGACACUAUGUGUUGUUGGGUAGGGGAGCGUUCUGUAAGCCUGUGAAGGUGUGCUGUGAGGUAUGCUGGAGGUAUCAGAAGUGCGAAUGCUGACAUAAGUAACGAUAAAGCGGGUGAAAAGCCCGCUCGCCGGAAGACCAAGGGUUCCUGUCCAACGUUAAUCGGGGCAGGGUGAGUCGACCCCUAAGGCGAGGCCGAAAGGCGUAGUCGAUGGGAAACAGGUUAAUAUUCCUGUACUUGGUGUUACUGCGAAGGGGGGACGGAGAAGGCUAUGUUGGCCGGGCGACGGUUGUCCCGGUUUAAGCGUGUAGGCUGGUUUUCCAGGCAAAUCCGGAAAAUCAAGGCUGAGGCGUGAUGACGAGGCACUACGGUGCUGAAGCAACAAAUGCCCUGCUUCCAGGAAAAGCCUCUAAGCAUCAGGUAACAUCAAAUCGUACCCCAAACCGACACAGGUGGUCAGGUAGAGAAUACCAAGGCGCUUGAGAGAACUCGGGUGAAGGAACUAGGCAAAAUGGUGCCGUAACUUCGGGAGAAGGCACGCUGAUAUGUAGGUGAAGCGACUUGCUCGUGGAGCUGAAAUCAGUCGAAGAUACCAGCUGGCUGCAACUGUUUAUUAAAAACACAGCACUGUGCAAACACGAAAGUGGACGUAUACGGUGUGACGCCUGCCCGGUGC
Molecule: ribosomal RNA, 1539 nt
Filed under: Escherichia coli
Lineage: Bacteria; Pseudomonadati; Pseudomonadota; Gammaproteobacteria; Enterobacterales; Enterobacteriaceae
Description: partial 23S ribosomal RNA
Rfam family: Bacterial large subunit ribosomal RNA
Source: RNAcentral